UGCUUGUCUCUGUCUCCCAGCACUAUUACAGAUGUGCUCACAGGUGCACCAGGAUGUGCUUGUCUCUGUCUCCCAGCACUAUUACAGAUGUGCUCACAGGUGCACCAGGAUGUGCUUGUCUCUGUCUCCCAGCACUAUUACAGAUGUGCUCACAGGUGCUCCAGGAUGUGCUUGUCUCUGUCUCCCAGCACUAUUACAGAUGUGCU
This is a long non-coding RNA of Acomys russatus (golden spiny mouse), 206 nucleotides long. RefSeq lists it as uncharacterized. Lineage: Eukaryota; Metazoa; Chordata; Mammalia; Rodentia; Muridae. The record is from RefSeq and is a predicted model, not a curated record. The transcript has 3 exons.